RNAcentral lists this long non-coding RNA (617 nucleotides) under Salmo salar (Atlantic salmon). RNAcentral describes it as "lncRNA (ENSSSAG00000117234.1)". Lineage: Eukaryota; Metazoa; Chordata; Actinopteri; Salmoniformes; Salmonidae. The record is from RNAcentral.
CCCAGGUCCUAGCCUAUUUAUCAACCCAGGUCCUAGCCUAUUUAUCAACCCAGGUCCUAGCCUAUUUAUCAACCCAGGUCCUAGCCUCUUUAUCAACCAGGUCCUAGUCUAUUUAUCAACCCAGGUCCUAGUCUAUUUAUCAACCCAGGUCCUAGCCUAUUUAUCAACCCAGGUCCUAGCCUAUUUAUCAACCCAGGUCGUAGCCUAUUUAUCAACCCAGGUCCUAGCCUAUUUAUCAUCCCAGGUCCUAGCCUAUUUAUCAACCCAGGUCCUAGCCUAUUUAUCAACCCAGGUCCUAGCCUAUUUAUCAACACAGGUCCUAGUCUAUUUAUCAACCCAGGUCCAUGCCUAUUUAUCAACCCAGGUCCUAGUCUUUUUAUCAACCCAGGUCUUAGCCUAUUUGUCUUGGCUCCUUGUUGUGACUUGUAACAAGGUCAUAUUUUGGUUUGAUUUAUUCACAUUUUAUUAACAUGGUAAUUCACAGGUGUGGAACAAGAUAAUGUCUAAUAACAUUAGUAUUUACACAUGUGGAAUAAUAUUCAGCAAGUGAGUGUGUAAUAACACAUUCCUUGUUCCAGUUGUGUAAUAGCGUAUUCCAUAACAACCCUAUGACCAUG